CAAGAAUGGAUUAGGAAGAGGCAGGGGCGGGGCUACUUUGUGGACGGUGAGGAGAGGCGCACCUACUCUUACAUCAGAAAAUGGACCUGGCAACGGCAUUCCACCUUGUGUCUCCAUGAAUUUGACUGCUCUCACCCUUCAUAAAGAGAGUGCAAGCCAGGGGAGGAGCAGAGGGCGAGGAAGAGAAAGAAUCCUCAAGCAGACUCCCCACUGAUCACAGAGCCUGAUUUGGAGCUCCAGCCCAAGACCCUGAGAUCAUGACCUGAGACGAAGUCAAGAGUAGGAUGCUCAACCUACUGAGCCACCCACACACCCCACAAAAGUUUUUAAUUUUCCUAUAAUGCAAUUUAUGUAUUUUUCAUUUGUUUCCUGUGCUUUUGAUGUCAUA
This is a long non-coding RNA of Nyctereutes procyonoides (raccoon dog), 388 nucleotides long. RefSeq lists it as uncharacterized. Lineage: Eukaryota; Metazoa; Chordata; Mammalia; Carnivora; Canidae. The transcript has 3 exons. The record is from RefSeq and is a predicted model, not a curated record.